UGGAGAAACUGUUCCAAAAACUGUUGUGACACACUUAACAGAUAAUGAAGUGUGUCUGAAAGGAAACUUCACUGAUAUUCAAUGGAAUCUGAUUGAAUGUGUCAAAAUAACAGAGCAAAACUCUUGCACAUCCACACACACUGUUGUACUGGACACAUGUACCUACACAAUGAAUGUUGAUAUGCCCCCAGUCAAACCUGAAAUACACUUCAAUCCAACUGUUCCUUCUCAGUUUGAAUGGACUAAUAAACCAGCACGAUGUAAUCCUGUGCUUAAAGUCGUUUGCACCCAUGGCAAUAAGAAAGAUACAUUUGUUUUAAAUGAAAAGUGUUUUUAUCACUCAAUGAACAGUACAACUGUAUUGGAGAAUACCCUUAUCAGAAACGAUUCAUCAAGAGUAAUGAGCUGCCCAUUCAA
This is a long non-coding RNA of Labeo rohita (rohu), 417 nucleotides long. RefSeq lists it as uncharacterized. The record is from RefSeq and is a predicted model, not a curated record. The transcript has 3 exons. Lineage: Eukaryota; Metazoa; Chordata; Actinopteri; Cypriniformes; Cyprinidae.